GAUGAACGCUGGCGGCGUGCCUAAUACAUGCAAGUCGAGCGAACAGACGAGGAGCUUGCUCCCCUGCCGUUAGCGGCGGACGGGUGAGUAACACGUGGAUAACCUACCUAUAAGACUGGGAUAACUUCGGGAAACCGGAGCUAAUACCGGAUAAUAUAUUGAACCGCAUGGUUCAAUAGUGAAAGACGGUUUUGCUGUCACUUAUAGAUGGAUCCGCGCCGCAUUAGCUAGUUGGUAAGGUAACGGCUUACCAAGGCAACGAUGCGUAGCCGACCUGAGAGGGUGAUCGGCCACACUGGAACUGAGACACGGUCCAGACUCCUACGGGAGGCAGCAGUAGGGAAUCUUCCGCAAUGGGCGAAAGCCUGACGGAGCAACGCCGCGUGAGUGAUGAAGGUCUUCGGAUCGUAAAACUCUGUUAUUAGGGAAGAACAAAUGUGUAAGUAACUAUGCACGUCUUGACGGUACCUAAUCAGAAAGCCACGGCUAACUACGUG
RNAcentral lists this ribosomal RNA (497 nucleotides) under uncultured bacterium. RNAcentral's name for it is "partial 16S ribosomal RNA". It matches the Rfam family "Bacterial small subunit ribosomal RNA", at positions 28 to 507 of the family's 1533-position model. The record is from RNAcentral.